AGUAAGAGCUGUCACAUGUUCACCACUAGAAGACCCUCAAAACCUCAACAUCUCCUGUGAAACUGUAGACUGUGG
RNAcentral lists this long non-coding RNA (75 nucleotides) under Struthio camelus australis. RNAcentral's name for it is "lncRNA (ENSSCUG00000017056.1)". Lineage: Eukaryota; Metazoa; Chordata; Aves; Struthioniformes; Struthionidae. The record is from RNAcentral.